RNAcentral lists this ribosomal RNA (716 nucleotides) under Bacillus safensis. Its description in RNAcentral is "bacterial SSU rRNA". It matches the Rfam family "Bacterial small subunit ribosomal RNA", at positions 57 to 757 of the family's 1533-position model. Lineage: Bacteria; Bacillati; Bacillota; Bacilli; Caryophanales; Bacillaceae. The record is from RNAcentral.
GCAGUCGAGCGGACAGAAGGGAGCUUGCUCCCGGAUGUUAGCGGCGGACGGGUGAGUAACACGUGGGUAACCUGCCUGUAAGACUGGGAUAACUCCGGGAAACCGGAGCUAAUACCGGAUAGUUCCUUGAACCGCAUGGUUCAAGGAUGAAAGACGGUUUCGGCUGUCACUUACAGAUGGACCCGCGGCGCAUUAGCUAGUUGGUGGGGUAAUGGCUCACCAAGGCGACGAUGCGUAGCCGACCUGAGAGGGUGAUCGGCCACACUGGGACUGAGACACGGCCCAGACUCCUACGGGAGGCAGCAGUAGGGAAUCUUCCGCAAUGGACGAAAGUCUGACGGAGCAACGCCGCGUGAGUGAUGAAGGUUUUCGGAUCGUAAAGCUCUGUUGUUAGGGAAGAACAAGUGCGAGAGUAACUGCUCGCACCUUGACGGUACCUAACCAGAAAGCCACGGCUAACUACGUGCCAGCAGCCGCGGUAAUACGUAGGUGGCAAGCGUUGUCCGGAAUUAUUGGGCGUAAAGGGCUCGCAGGCGGUUUCUUAAGUCUGAUGUGAAAGCCCCCGGCUCAACCGGGGAGGGUCAUUGGAAACUGGGAAACUUGAGUGCAGAAGAGGAGAGUGGAAUUCCACGUGUAGCGGUGAAAUGCGUAGAGAUGUGGAGGAACACCAGUGGCGAAGGCGACUCUCUGGUCUGUAACUGACGCUGAGGAGCGAA